AAGUCGUAACAAGGUUUCCGUAGGUGAACCUGCGGAAGGAUCAUUAAAGAAUUAGGCUUCGCGGCCAAGUUCUCACCCUUUGUAUACCGAAACCAUGUUGCUUUGGCAGCCCGUCUCAUUUGCUCGGGCCUGCAGAGUUAAUCAACCUAGAAUCUCUGCUGUCUGAGUACUAUACAAUAGUUAAAA
RNAcentral lists this unclassified non-coding RNA (186 nucleotides) under plant metagenome. Its description in RNAcentral is "partial contains small subunit ribosomal RNA and internal transcribed spacer 1". The stretch from base 1 to 46 matches the Rfam family "Eukaryotic small subunit ribosomal RNA", at positions 1786 to 1831 of the family's 1831-position model. The record is from RNAcentral.